AUGUGUUCCCUCUACUUUGGAAGCACCUACCUCUUCUCUGCCCUUCCUUAUUUGGAGGCCAUAAAGUGCCAGCUCAACUAAAUAAGAAUUCCUUUUUAUCAAAUACUAGACAAGAAACAACUUAACCUUUGCUUGAAGACUUCCAAUUAGGACACUGAGGGGAAAGCCACUACUUCCCAAGCCAUGUAUUCAGUCGCUCACUCAUUCACUCAUUCAAAAUGCAUUUGUUGCUCACCACGAGUCAGGCACUGUAUUAGGUGCAGAAUGGACCAAAUGUUUGGAGACUUUUGGAGAGUUCUGAUGGAAAUCCUAAGCUGGAAAUGUACAAAAAUUGAGGAUCCUAAGAAGGCAGUAGGAGAGUUUGAGUCAAAGAUCAAGAGAUACAGAGGGAGGUGAGAAAGGUGAUAGCCAAAUAAGCCUACACAGACCUUUGCUCAAACAAGUUAAUUAUCUGGAGGUACCCAAAAGAUGAUUCCCUAUUCAUGCACUGGAAUUAUUCCAGAUGCCUGGAAAGACACAAUAAGGAUAUACCCUCAUUCAAUGACCAUGGGAUCCCGAACGUCUACAGUGGCAUAAAACAGGAAUAUAUACGGUCUUGCUACAGAAAAAGGAGCUUCAUAGUCAUUGGCUGAGAAUUUUAGAUGAAAAGGCUGGAUGAGAAAACUGUAGAGACCAUCCCAGUGAUUGGAUGAGAACCUGAAUGAGAGACAUAAUAGCUUCCCAGCUGCUGAAUGAUAGCUGAGUAUAUUGGUCAUCUUCCGUACAGAAAUAACCUUCAGAGAGAAGGAAAGUCCAGUUCCCCAGGCCCUGAGAAUCCUUCAUGCUUCCCUGACCCUCUUGGUUACAAGCCUGGACAGUUUCUCAGGAUAGAGCCGCGUCCAGCCCACAAGACUCCAAGGAUGGUCCGGGUAACCCUGGUUCUCCUGACUCUGGCCUUGCUGGCCUCCCUCACUGCUAUCAUCAUUCUUUAUUUCCAGGUAGAGACAUGCACAGGAAAAGAGGAAGCCCAGCGGAAGGCUUACCUGGAUAAUAUUACCACCCUGACUUCAGAGAUGCAGAUGUUAAGAAGUCGUCUGGAAAACCCUAGGGUUCAGACGUUAGAGACCAAGAAGACUGGGAGUGGCCUGGAAAAUGUCACAGCAUCUAGUGCUGUCAUGGAAGGGUUAAAAGGUUAUUUGGAGACCAUUACUGGCCUCCCUGUCAGCAUCCAUCAGGUACAGACCAGGGCCUCUGGAGUGAACCCUGAGAUACCAGAGGAGGCCCGAGAGUUUGAGAGGGUCCUGAACCACCUGGAGGCCCCAUUGAGGAGGCCCUGGAGUUUGGAGAGAUCACUGAGACACCUGGAGCCCACGUGGAGAAGGUCUCAGCAACUGUUGAAGUCCAAACAGAUGUGA
Molecule: long non-coding RNA, 1394 nt
Filed under: Phascolarctos cinereus (koala)
Lineage: Eukaryota; Metazoa; Chordata; Mammalia; Diprotodontia; Phascolarctidae
Description: lncRNA (ENSPCIG00000029483.2)
Source: RNAcentral